UUCUCUUCCACCGCAUCCUCUAUAUCAAAUGGAUCUCUAACUUUGUUUUUGAAAGUUGCAGAUUCAAAUCGGUGUAGAUUCAAAUGGGUGGAUUCAAAUCGGUUCCUUAUCUCACUUUUCCCUGUCUUUCAUAUUCAGUGGGAUAUCUCUGUAAGAGGUUUGAAAUCUUAUCGGUGAUGAAUCUCUUGGCAGCUGAUUGUGCUCUAUGGUAAAUUUAUCUCUAUAAAGUCAACGAAUCCGUUAGUAGCAGAAAAUGGUAGUACUGCAACCAAAUUCAAUAGAUUUAACCUUGAUGCAGCCCACAUGGAAGCGACUGUGCCAUUAUGAAUGUAAAUAUUUAUAUAAAAGACGCUGAGAUUGGUGGUGGAAUUGGUGGGGAGAAGCUUACUGGAGUUAGCUGUGAGGCUGUAUAGCUAAGAUUCCUUCUCAUGUCUUGGAGACUGUAGAUGAUAAUACCAUACGGGUCUACGUUUAUGCCUCUAACACCUUUAGCGAAGCUUGCCCAAGAAUGGGUUGCAGUUCAUGGGAUUGGGGUAGACGAUGAAGGAAUAGCGAACAAGGUUAGUGACGCACGCUAAAACUUUCCAUUUGGCGAAACCAUUCUGAAAACUCAUGUUUACUGGAAGUUCCAAAUCAUACACAUCUCGGCCUGUUCUUCCGUCUGCUCAAUUGUAAAUUAAUAUUAAACACUAUCUAGAAUAUUUCACUGG
Papaver somniferum (opium poppy) is the source of this 710-nucleotide long non-coding RNA. RefSeq lists it as uncharacterized. Lineage: Eukaryota; Viridiplantae; Streptophyta; Magnoliopsida; Ranunculales; Papaveraceae. The record is from RefSeq and is a predicted model, not a curated record. The transcript is spliced from 5 exons.